Molecule: ribosomal RNA, 468 nt
Filed under: uncultured bacterium
Lineage: Bacteria
Description: partial 16S ribosomal RNA
Rfam family: Bacterial small subunit ribosomal RNA
Source: RNAcentral
GACGAACGCUGGCGGCGUGCUUAACACAUGCAAGUCGAACGGAAAGGCCCUGCUUUUGUGGGGUGCUCGAGUGGCGAACGGGUGAGUAACACGUGAGUAACCUGCCCUUGACUUUGGGAUAACUUCAGGAAACUGGGGCUAAUACCGGAUAGGAGCUCCUUCUGCAUGGUGGGGGUUGGAAAGUUUCGGCGGUUGGGGAUGGACUCGCGGCUUAUCAGCUUGUUGGUGGGGUAGUGGCUUACCAAGGCUUUGACGGGUAGCCGGCCUGAGAGGGUGACCGGCACCAUUGGGACUGAGAUACGGGCCAGACCCCUACGGGAGGCAGCAGUGGGGAAUAUUGCACAAUGGGCGGAAGUCUGAUGCAGCAACGCCGCGUGCGGGAUGACGGCCUUCGGGUUGUAAACCGCUUUCGCCUGUGACGAAGCGUGAGUGACGGUAAUGGGUAAAGAAGCACCGGCUAACUACGUG